This 514-nucleotide ribosomal RNA is filed under the name uncultured bacterium. RNAcentral's name for it is "bacterial SSU rRNA". It matches the Rfam family "Bacterial small subunit ribosomal RNA", at positions 389 to 918 of the family's 1533-position model. The record is from RNAcentral.
CAGCAACGCCGCGUGAAGGAUGAAGUAUUUCGGUAUGUAAACUUCGAAAGAAUAGGAAGAAUUAAUGACGGUACUAUUUAUAAGGUCCGGCUAACUACGUGCCAGCAGCCGCGGUAAUACGUAGGGACCAAGCGUUGUUCGGAUUUACUGGGCGUAAAGGGCGCGUAGGCGGUGCGGUAAGUCACUUGUGAAAUCUCUGAGCUUAACUCAGAACGGCCAAGUGAUACUGCAGUACUAGAGUGCAGAAGGGGCAAUCAGAAUUCUUGGUGUAGCGGUGAAAUGCGUAGAUAUCAAGAGGAAUACCUGAGGUGAAGACGGGUUGCUAGGCUGACACUGACGCUGAGGCGCGAAAGCUAGGGGAGCAAACGGGAUUAGAUACCCCGGUAGUCCUAGCCCUAAACGAUGAAUACUUGGUGUCUGGAGUCUUUAAUGCUCCGGGUGCCGUCGCUAACGUUUUAAGUAUUCCGCCUGGGGAGUACGCUCGCAAGAGUGAAACUCAAAGGAAUUGACGGGG